CGGCAAGUGUUGUAAUGAUGUAUCAAUGUCUUUUUGAAAUCACCGUGCUAUUUACAUGUGGGAUCGAGAAUGCAGGGGAAGGAAACUUGUCAAUUAUGUUUAUUUCUAAGCCAAAAUAAAAUGAGCCGCCGUAAAAUUAACCUUGGGUAAUAACAGUGCAUGUAAGGCUCGUCUCGGAGGGGUGUCUUUUUUUUCUGUCUUCUUUUUAUGCCCCACCUACGAUAGUAGAGGGGCAUUAUGUUUUCUGGUCUGUGCCUCCGUUCGUUCGUCCGUUCGUUCGUCCUGUUUCAGGUUAAAG
Molecule: long non-coding RNA, 298 nt
Filed under: Mytilus galloprovincialis (Mediterranean mussel)
Lineage: Eukaryota; Metazoa; Mollusca; Bivalvia; Mytilida; Mytilidae
Source: RNAcentral